Molecule: ribosomal RNA, 459 nt
Filed under: uncultured bacterium
Lineage: Bacteria
Description: partial 16S ribosomal RNA
Rfam family: Bacterial small subunit ribosomal RNA
Source: RNAcentral
CCUACGGGGCGCAGCAGUGAGGAAUAUUGGUCAAUGGGAGAGAUCCUGAACCAGCCAAGCCGCUUGAGGGAAGACGGCCCUAUGGGUUGUAAACCUCUUUUGUCGGAGAACAAAACCCGGGACGUGUCCCGGCCUGCGUGUAUCCGAAGAAAAAGCAUCGGCUAACUCCGUGCCCGCAGCCGCGGUAAUACGGAGGAUGCGAGCGUUAUCCGGAUUUAUUGGGUUUAAAGGGUGCGUAGGCGGUCCGUUAAGUCAGCGGUAAAAUUGCGGGGCUCAACCCCGUCGAGCCGUUGAAACGGGCAGACUUGAGUUGGCGAGAAGUACGCGGAAUGCGCGGUGUAGCGGUGAAAGGCAUAGAUAUCGCGCAGAACUCCGAUUGCGAAGGCAGCGUACCGGCGCCAGACUGACGCUGAGGCACGAAAGCGUGGGGAUCGAACAGGAUUAGAUACCCUAGUAGUC